GUUGCCCAGCCUUUGCCCCUUUAGCUUUGUUAAGAGUCACGAAACAUCAGUCUUUCUAGGGCUAAUUAUUCCCUGCUGCCUGGCAAAGCCCUUCUGAGUUCUCUACCAGUUCCCAUGAAUUUGGGGUUUUCCUGUCUGCCUAGGGGACAGGUUACUCCCAUCCAGAUGUGAGCCCAACUCCCACUCAUUCCCUGUAAUUCUUUCCCACUCUUAGUCCGGUGGAGUUUGCACAGGCACGUACCGAUCUCCGGGCCACAAGUUCUCCAGGGCCUCACUGCCACACUUUCCUCUAGCUGCUCCAUCUUCACAGGCUAGAAACUUCUCUCACCUCACCCUUCCAACACCCAAUUCCAGCUUCCCAGAGGGGGAAAAAAACCCUUCAAAUGGAUCGAACUUGGGAUCUUGCCCUUGCAAAGCAGGCGGCGGAACCACUGAGCUAAAUCCCCUGCCCUGC
This is a long non-coding RNA of Heterocephalus glaber (naked mole-rat), 454 nucleotides long. The record is from Ensembl. Lineage: Eukaryota; Metazoa; Chordata; Mammalia; Rodentia; Bathyergidae.